This is a long non-coding RNA of Alligator mississippiensis (American alligator), 4403 nucleotides long. RefSeq lists it as uncharacterized. NCBI's taxonomy places the organism in Eukaryota, Metazoa, Chordata, Crocodylia, Alligatoridae. The record is from RefSeq and is a predicted model, not a curated record. The transcript is spliced from 2 exons.
UUGGACUGAGGCGCAUGCACACACACACACACACAUACAUAUACAUAUAUACACUUUUAACAUUUAUGUUAUAUACACACACACACACCAAUUUUCACCCAGUUGGUGAAAUAGGAUCUGACUGUAGUGUUCAUUUGUGAGCCUGGAUUCCACUCUUGGGACUUUCUGAAACUCUCCCUCAGGUACCUAAAUAAAUGUUUUGAAUCUGGCCACAACAAUCUUAAAGAUAGGUGUUGCAGCUCUUACUUUGUAGACUUCUACUGAAUCUAACCUCAAGUCUAAAACCGCAUUACAUAACCCCCCCAGGCCACCUUUUGCCUAAGUUUAGAAAUUCCUUAAUUCCUUGGGUACCUACAUUUUCUGUCUUAAAAUCUCGCACUUAGUGUUGCAUUUGUGUACAUGCUUAGAACCACUCAUGUCUUAGCAGCUCUGUGCCUAGUUCAUACCAAAACCUGAUCACAACUUAGAAGAGAGGAAUUCAUCCUCUUAGGUCCCCUGAUGGGCUCAGUCCUAUAGCUGUACUUAGACAUGCUCAACACACAAACAGGUUCCCCACAAAAUGCAUUGAUAGCGCUUUCUUUUAAUAACAGCUGGUACCAGUGGCUCCCUUUUAUAAUCAUAGACUACAAGUACAUCACUCCCCUAAGAGGCAAGAUACCCUGGUUUCAUUCUCCCCUCUGCCUUCAGGAGUUCAAACUCACCCACAACCCACUAGUUUAUAGAUCAUUCCAGGAAGGAACACUCUGAAUACUUCCUGUUGAAGCUGAGUCACUGUACAGAGAAGAAUUAGCAUUCAUUGGCCCAGAGAAAGGAUGUUGACACAAAUUACAAUUUGGGCAUGCUAAAUCAAUGCAAUGUUAUAAAGUAUUAAAGUUGGAACAUGCUCUGACAGGUGGCACAUUAAGGGUUAAUACCACCUCAGGCCUAAUAUCAUAGAGAAGUGAAAUAGGACUGGACAGGACCUCAAGAGGUCAUCUAGUCCAAUGCCCUUCCUGAGGCAGGAUCAUCCCUAGUCAAACCAACCUAUACAAAUCCAACUUUUUAGCAGAACUACACAUAAAUCCUGACAAAAUCCAGAACAUAACCCAUAACCUGCCACAGAUAAAGCAGGGGGAUCAUGGCAGCCAAUGUCCUGCUACUACAAAGUCUGUUAAUAUGAUGUACAUUCAAGAGAUCCCCAGAAGAGGACCACAUCUUUUGGUACAGAGGAAGGUAAAAACUCCUGCAGUCUAGAACAAUCUAACCACUGCUUCCCAAUCCCAAUGAUGGUGAUCAAUCAGACCCUCAGGGGAGGGGCAAACCCCUCUAGCCAGGAACCUAUGGCUUUAAGUUCCAGCAGGAGCACUGGCAUACCCAAGUCAAAAUCCUCACCCUUGGCUGCAGCCAACACAUAAUGCCUGAGGAAGGCUUUAAGAAAGAGCAAAAUAACCCUGACAUGUAUGUGACAGCCAGAACCAGAGGGGUUAAAUCAAAAAAUAUAUGCUCUUGGAAGCAUCUGGUAAUUGUCUAAGCAGUUAAGAUUAACUAAUGCAAAGCUUGUAAGUUUGCAACCUGCGAGUGGAAUUUGUCUGUCACAAUUUAACCAAAGUGUUGAACCUACUGUGUGCCCUGAUCAUGGGACCACUGAGCCCCCAAAAUAAGCAGAGCUACAAGAUUAGCUGAUCUAACAGGUUUUUUAAAGGUCAAACCAUAACAAGACCUGACCACCUGAUAUAAUCAGCACAUUCCAAGGAAUCCAGGAAUAAAAAAACUAAGGAGUUGAGCUUAGGUAGGUAAUGCUAAUUUCAAACCUCAAAGUAAUGUGGUGUAAUUUGCUUAUUGUGUGAACCUGAGUUUGGGCAAUAACCUUUCAUGAUAAUUUCUAACACCUUUUGAUCCCAAAGGGUAACAGCUAUAGGGGAAGAUUGUGAGUGGCUGUAAAGCUAACAGAUUAGCAUAAAAUAAGGUAUAAAGAAGCACAUAUGUCAGGUGACCAGCGUGAAAGACCAUCGCUGUACCAAGCCUGGACUGCGGACUCCCAGUGUGAGUGAGGACCGGAUCCUGACCAAGGGAUCUUCCCGGUGACCCCUUGGACAGCGGGGAUCAGGGACACCCAACUUCGCUGGAACAACUUGGCGUGCGCCUGGCAUAGAGGAACUGCCGAUAAGUUGCCAGCCCCAUGUGCAAAACUGUCUUUGAAAUCAAUGUGACUGUGAUAAUCUCAAUACAAACUGAAGUCUCAGGCAAUUGAGAGGACCUGACAUUUCCAGGAUCGGGACUUUUACUUCAGAUACAUCAUCUCUCACCAGCUGCCCACAAAAUGCAAUGGAAAAAAAAAACCAAAACAUUGCACACCAUGCAAUGCAAUGGGGAAAAAAAAAAAGCCAAAAGAAAAUAUAAAGGUAGCCAAGUCAUCUAGCAAGCAUUAUACAGAUUAGAAAAAAAUGAUGAAAAAUGUAGGCAAACAAUAUGUCUUCCAUAGGAUUCUUUAAAUAUUUUCUUUUUUUUUUUUACAUAAGACUAAAUGUUUGUUUAGAAGCCUUCCUGCUUUCUGUCUUGUUGCAAGAAAACAUACAGUCAGAGCCAGUAGCAAAUAAAUUAAACUUCACAAUUGAUAGAAAUAUACUUUUUCCAAUCCACCUGAAUAAAGCCACCCACUGGGGGAAAAAAGCUUUUAUAUUGGAUACAAAAGCUCUCCAGGCAACAACUGCACCUUUUGAUCUGCUCCACAUACUUUUUGCUAUUUAGUGGUUUCAGCUUAGUGCUAUACAGAAAGGGAACAAUGAACCUGAAUAUGAUCUUAGACACACUAGCUCAGGAAGGAUUAACUCUAUUUAGAUGUAUACACUAAGACUAGUAUAAAACUAGUACUAAAGAGAUAAGGAUUAGAACCAAUAUUUAAAAUAUGUAUUCUUUAGGCCAGUAUGUGUCUUUUUGCUGUGAUUUCAUAUUCAGCUGGAACAUAAUUUUGCUUGAGUAGGGGCCUCUAUAUUAUUCCUGCCAAUAACCAUGCUAAUUUAAAAUGAAAAUACAAAAUGCAGUUUUCAUUAAUAAAACAGUAGGCUCUUUGUCCUUCAUCAGCUAUAUUGUUCUCCUUUGUCAGGGCUGACUGUUCAAGAAUGCAUAUAUUUAAAAUGCUGGAGAAAUGUUAAUUGUUUAAACAACCACUGCAAGAAACAAGAUACUAAAUGGGAUUUCUGUGUUUUUUCCCUUUUGCUUUAGGAUCAUACACACAAAAUGUAUGCAUAGUAAAUGAAUAGGGCAAAUUCAAUGAUAAUGUGGUAUGCAGCUUUCAGUAUUUACUGCAUUUUCAGUAAACACUGUGAACCAUCUUUCUGAUGCAAAAUUGGAAUCUAUUAUAGAGCAGAGUCAAUAAAAGGGAAAGUAUGCAGAGAAAAAUGUGUUACUCUUCAAUCACCACCUGCCCGGUUUACCUCAUCACUUGCAUGAUCAUGAGUAUACUGAACAACUGUUCAGGUAGAAAGCAAAUUUGCUCAAAUUGAAUGCUAAAAAUAUAUUUAACCCCCCCCCCCCCGAAGCCUACAACAGAGGAAAUGGAGAAAGAUGAUCCAGACUGCCAGAGAGCCUGAAGUCUGUGCCUAAAUAAAAUAAGUCAAAAUAACAGAUCAAAUAAAAAUCAAAACAGGUGCCAGUCACUAAAGUAGAAAGAGCUUCUACAAAAAAGGGAUUGCUAUGGUUCUAGCAGUCUCUUAUACUCCACCAAACUCCCCCUUAAUUACAUUAUAAGAAGGAUGCCACCCUCUUCCCACCCAGUCUUCCAUCACAGUUACAGAGCUCAGGAUAACAAUGCUAGGGGAAAAAAAGCUUUUAAUUUCCCAAAACUGCAUUGUCUACCUCACACAGUGGAGGUGAAGGAAGGGGUCAAAGUUGAAAUGCAGCUCACUGUAUCUCUUGGACUGUGGCUGAAUUAAUUUGAUAGUACACCAACCAGAUACACUAAAGAAAAAGUUACCAUGAAUAAGAAUUUCAAUUGAACAUCAGAAAUGCUCAUUAAGAAAGCAAAACAAUUGAAGAAGAGUCUCUGAAAUAGCCUAGAGAACUUUUUUCAUCAAGAGCAGUCAUUGUUAGUACCCACAUCCUUUUUUACCCCUUUACUUUCUUCAUUCUGAUUAAAAUUCCCAUGCUUUUCAAAGGGGAAGAAGGUCUUGGUCCUCAGAUUAGCAGAAUAGGAUAAGGAAAGUGAGACACAAAAGUAUUCAAGAAUGUGCUCUUCCUGAAUAAGGUAGUUUGUUUGCAUAUAUUUGUACAAAUCAGUGAGACUUGUUCCAUGUUCCAAGAUAUUUCUCCACAUCCAAUGAAGAUUACAGGUUUCCCUCGCUUUUUGUGGGUUCUGUAUGUAUGAAUUCACUCUUAUGCAAUGCCCCUUUCUAUACUAAAAAAUUAUUAAAUGGGAGCCAAACUCA